This 590-nucleotide ribosomal RNA is filed under the name uncultured bacterium. Its description in RNAcentral is "partial 16S ribosomal RNA". It matches the Rfam family "Bacterial small subunit ribosomal RNA", at positions 355 to 937 of the family's 1533-position model. The record is from RNAcentral.
UGGGGAAUAUUGCACAAAUGGGCGCAAGCCUGAUGCAGCCAUGCCGCGUGUGUGAAGAAGGCCUUCGGGUUGUAAAGCACUUUCAGCGAGGAGGAAGGUGGUGAGCUUAAUACGCUCAUCAAUUGACGUUACUCGCAGAAGAAGCACCGGCUAACUCCGUGCCAGCAGCCGCGGUAAUACGGAGGGUGCAAGCGUUAAUCGGAAUUACUGGGCGUAAAGCGCACGCAGGCGGUUUGUUAAGUCAGNUGUGAAAAUCCCCGGGCUCAACCUGGGAACUGCAUUUGAAACUGGCAAGCUAGAGUCUCGUAGAGGGGGGUAGAAAUUCCAGGUGUAGCGGUGAAAUGCGUAGAGAUCUGGAGGAAUACCGGUGGCGAAGGCGGCCCCCUGGACGAAGACUGACGCUCAGGUGCGAAAAGCGUGGGGAGCAAAACAGGAUUAGAUACCCCUGGUAGUCCACGCUGUAAAACGAUGUCGAUUUUGGAGGUUGUGCCCUUGAGGCGUGGNUUCCGGAGCUAACGCGUUAAAUCGACCGCCUGGGGAGUACGGCCNCAAGGUUAAAACUUAAAUGAAUUGCGGGUCUAGCUGUUUCC